This 353-nucleotide ribosomal RNA is filed under the name uncultured bacterium. RNAcentral describes it as "bacterial SSU rRNA". It matches the Rfam family "Bacterial small subunit ribosomal RNA", at positions 22 to 356 of the family's 1533-position model. The record is from RNAcentral.
GCUCAGGAUGAACGCUGGCGGCGUGCUUAACACAUGCAAGUCGAACGGGGAUUAUUUUGACAGAGACUUCGGUUGAAGUUGUUAUAAUCCUAGUGGCGGACGGGUGAGUAACGCGUGGGUAACCUGCCUCACACUGGGGGAUAACAGUCAGAAAUGACUGCUAAUACCGCAUAAGCGCACGGGAUUGCAUGAUCCAGUGUGAAAAACUCCGGUGGUGUGAGAUGGACCCGCGUUGGAUUAGCCAGUUGGCAGGGUAACGGCCUACCAAAGCGACGAUCCAUAGCCGGCCUGAGAGGGUGGACGGCCACAUUGGGACUGAGACACGGCCCAGACUCCUACGGGAGGCAGCAGUA